UACGUAGGGGGCUAGCGUUGUCCGGAUUUAUUGGGCGUAAAGAGCGUGUAGGCGGCCAGGUAGGUCUGGUGCGAAAACUCGAGGCUUAACCUCGAGAUGUCAUCGGAAACCAUCUGGCUAGAGUCCGGAAGAGGAGAGUGGAAUUCCUGGUGUAGCGGUGAAAUGCGCAGAUAUCAGGAAGAACACCAAUGGCGAAAGCAGCUCUCUGGGACGGUACUGACGCUGAGGUGCGAAAGCGUGGGGAGCAAACAGG
Molecule: ribosomal RNA, 253 nt
Filed under: uncultured bacterium
Lineage: Bacteria
Description: partial 16S ribosomal RNA
Rfam family: Bacterial small subunit ribosomal RNA
Source: RNAcentral